RNAcentral lists this ribosomal RNA (253 nucleotides) under uncultured bacterium. RNAcentral describes it as "partial 16S ribosomal RNA". It matches the Rfam family "Bacterial small subunit ribosomal RNA", at positions 524 to 776 of the family's 1533-position model. The record is from RNAcentral.
UACGGGGGGGGUAAGCGUUGUUCGGAAUUACUGGGCGUAAAGGGCUCGUAGGCGGCCAACUAAGUCAGACGUGAAAUCCCGAGGCUUAACCUCGGAACUGCGUCUGAAACUACUCGACUAGAGUACUGGAGAGGGUAACGGAAUUCACGGUGUAGCAGUGAAAUGCGUAGAUAUCGUGAGGAACACCAGAGGCGAAGGCGGUUACCUGGACAGUUACUGACGCUCAGGCACGAAAGCAUGGGGAGCAAAAGGG